AGUGAACGCUGGCGGUAGGCCUAACACAUGCAAGUCGAACGGCAGCACAGUAAGAGCUUGCUCUUACGGGUGGCGAGUGGCGGACGGGUGAGGAAUACAUCGGAAUCUACUUUUUCGUGGGGGAUAACGUAGGGAAGCUUACGCUAAUACCGCAUACGACCUACGGGUGAAAGCAGGGGAUCUUCGGACCUUGCGCGAUUGAAUUAGCCGAUGUCGGAUUAGCUAGUUGGCGGGGUAAAGGCCCACCAAGGCGACGAUCCGUAGCUGGUCUGAGAGGAUGAUCAGCCACACUGGAACUGAGACACGGUCCAGACUCCUACGGGAGGCAGCAGUGGGGAAUAUUGGACAAUGGGCGCAAGCCUGAUCCAGCCAUACCGCGUGGGUGAUGAAGGCCUUCGGGUUGUAAAGCCCUUUUGUUGGGAAAGAAAAGCAGCAGGUUAAUACCCCGCUGUUCUGACGGUACCCAAAGAAUAAGCACCGGCUAACUUCGUG
Molecule: ribosomal RNA, 492 nt
Filed under: uncultured bacterium
Lineage: Bacteria
Description: partial 16S ribosomal RNA
Rfam family: Bacterial small subunit ribosomal RNA
Source: RNAcentral